This 255-nucleotide ribosomal RNA is filed under the name uncultured bacterium. RNAcentral describes it as "partial 16S ribosomal RNA". It matches the Rfam family "Bacterial small subunit ribosomal RNA", at positions 524 to 776 of the family's 1533-position model. The record is from RNAcentral.
UACGGAGGGAGCUAGCGUUGUUCGGAAUUACUGGGCGUAAAGCGCACGUAGGCGGUUAUUCAAGUCAGAGGUGAAAGCCCGGGGCUCAACCCCGGAACUGCCUUUGAAACUAGAUGACUAGAAUCUUGGAGAGGUCAGUGGAAUUCCGAGUGUAGAGGUGAAAUUCGUAGAUAUUCGGAAGAACACCAGUGGCGAAGGCGACAUACUGGGUCAUGACUGACGCUGGAGGCUCGAAAGCGUGGGGGAGCAAACAGG